Molecule: long non-coding RNA, 358 nt
Filed under: Sinocyclocheilus grahami
Lineage: Eukaryota; Metazoa; Chordata; Actinopteri; Cypriniformes; Cyprinidae
Description: lncRNA (ENSSGRG00000050975.1)
Source: RNAcentral
AUUGUGCUGGUAUCAUGGUACUGGUAUUGGAUUGUAUGCAUGUACUGUGUUUCCAUCAUCGCGCAUGGCUAAAUCUCUCCUCGAGAUCUCCGUGGAAAAGGUCUUCCUGACUGCAGCAUGAUAUCUGUGGAGCGAUCGCGCCUGAAGAUGAACUUUCUAGGAAAAAAACAAAUUCAAGCACACCUGAGAAAAGUGAUGUUCAUUGGAAUGGACUCUGGAUCUGAACUGAUCUGAGUUAAUUGGUGUUAUAAACAUUUCAAAGACAUCUAUUGUACUGUAUGCUUUCAUGGUGCAAAACGUAUAAUAUGUGCUACAUUCUUUUUUGCGAGGUGAAACAAGAGGCAUUUGAUUCAACAUG